UGAGACGAAGAAGAAAAAAGAAACGAAAAAGAAAGAAGAACCCGUCGUCAUAUUGUCGUAUGCAACCCUUCUAAUAUGUUGUCUAAUAUGUUGUGUUU
RNAcentral lists this non-coding RNA (98 nucleotides) under Karlodinium veneficum. Lineage: Eukaryota; Dinophyceae; Gymnodiniales; Kareniaceae. The record is from RNAcentral.